GACCCACAGAUGAGAACAGAUUAUCAGGAGC
This 31-nucleotide non-coding RNA is filed under the name Rattus norvegicus (Norway rat). Lineage: Eukaryota; Metazoa; Chordata; Mammalia; Rodentia; Muridae. The record is from RNAcentral.